AGCGUUUUGGAGCAGUCGGUAGCUCGUUGGGCUCAUACCACUUUAUGUAACCCAAAGGUCUCAGGAUCGAAACCUGAAAACGCUA
RNAcentral lists this transfer RNA (85 nucleotides) under Leucosporidium creatinivorum. RNAcentral's name for it is "tRNA-Met". It matches the Rfam family "tRNA". From Rfam's summary of the family: Transfer RNA (tRNA) molecules are approximately 80 nucleotides in length. Lineage: Eukaryota; Fungi; Basidiomycota; Microbotryomycetes; Leucosporidiales; Leucosporidiaceae. The record is from RNAcentral.